Molecule: long non-coding RNA, 2418 nt
Organism: Nicotiana attenuata
Lineage: Eukaryota; Viridiplantae; Streptophyta; Magnoliopsida; Solanales; Solanaceae
Exons: 5
Source: RefSeq, a predicted model, not a curated record
GUAAUUAUCAAUAAGGCGCCACUUUUUCCCUCUUUAUUUUUCACAACCCACGUCUCUCAGCCCGCCUCCCACUCCGAAAAAAAUACUGAAAACCCUCAAUCUUCUCUCUGUUUUGAUUGCAAAACAAAUUCGUACUAAUGGCAAAAUCUUCAGAGUUGUGUUAAAAGAACUUCCGCCUUAUCUCGUUACUGCUCACUAUCACCUGAUCGUCUGCAGGUCUGGUCAUUUUCGCCCAUGACAGAUAAAGAAAAUACAUCAUUCGCAUAGUUUUCUUCUCAUCAAUCUAAUGAUAUCAUCUAGGGGAGCUUUGUUGGAAGAGAUUGAGACAUUGGUCCAUAGACACAAGCAAGCUCUCUGUAGAUCGAGACAUUUACUAGUUAAAACAGAGGGUAUCGUGCAGAGACGACUGUAGUUACUUAUUGCCGGAAUAGGAAAGACUGCGUUGACAAGUCAAAGCUCAGAAUCCUUCCUGUAAGUUUACUUUCUCUGGUCCAUUAUUUGCUUCGUCAUGUUCAAUAAAAUGGAAAUAUAUGGUAUAAUAUCUCUCCUGGGCACUGCUUAUGACAUUUUUCCUUAUAAAGAUGGUAGCCUUGUGAGGAAAAAGAAGAGAGGGGAAAUAGAUGGUUUCUACUUUCUAGUUUUAUUUCUAAAAACGACUUUGGGUUAGUCUUUAGAGCUAGAAAAUUCAGAUUGGUCAUUGCUGGUGUUUUUGAUAGUUAAAUUGCUAGUAUUCAAGAGUUCUGGGCAGCAUGGGAGGGAGCUCAUAACUACGUAGCUUGCAUUGCAGAUUCUUUCCAUUUUAAGUGAAGAGGAAUUCUUAUCCAGUACAUAUCCACUUAAUUUGAAUAACACGCUUGCUAAGUUUGUCAUAAAGGUAAAAUCCCAAAUUCCUCGGAGUUAAAUAAUGUGGUAAAUCGAAUGCAUAUUUAUAAUCUACAUUGAAGUUGUAAUGAUCAGAAUAUUGAACCCUUUAAGUUGAACAUGAUCUCUAUUUGCUUCAUCCCCUUUUCAAAAUUAUUACUUAAUCUUGAGGUUCUUUCAUUGUGAACACCUGCUGAUGUUGCUGUGAUUUGUGCCCCUCCGCCCCCAAUUUACUGAGUCGUUUUGGCUAGGAAAUUCUCAACUACCUUUACUAAAUAUUCCGAUCAAUAUAAAGGAUUUCUUAUUGGCAAAGACAGAUUGACCUUUCACACAGGCUCGUAAAGAGAGCUUGUUAUAGCAUCAUUGAUUUUCCUGUUUUGCCCAACACCGGUAAGUAUCUUUCUAAAAUUAAUUUACUGCAGAUUGUAUGGGUGUAAGAGAAAUCUAGGUGAAACUCGGUAAAGUAAUACAUGGUCAGAUUCUGAAGAAAGAUAUAGCAUAUGCACCUUUCACUUCUUCAGAACUUGUGAAGAUAUAUAGGAGUUGUGGUGCACUUGAGCCACGUCUCCUCAUUCUCAGUGAUCCUAGUACUGAUCACCAAGUUGAUGCUUAUUUAGUUAUUUCCAAGGUAUUUAUAACUAUCUCCCUUUUGAGUUGCCAAUGAUUUACAACCUAUUUGAAUACUUUUGCAGCCUACAAGGAAGCUGCACAAGGAAACCUUGACAUCAAAUCCUGAGAUAUUAUCUUUUUCAUUUCUCCCCAUAUUUCCCCCUUAAAUCCUAAGAGGCUUUUGCAUCUUCCUGGUUUCCUCCUAAGCAUUAUCGACUGGUCGAAUAAUUCAUAACUGACAUUUGCUUCUCUUUUUCUUUUCUUUAACCAGGAAUUGAUUACUUGUUGGUUGCUGCAUUUGAUGAUUUUCUUACUUCAAUUUUGGCGCUCAAAAAAGUUGUUUAGAACUGGCAUGUUUCAUGUUCUUGUUUUAACAAAUUUUAGCCAUUGAAUUAAUCUCCAAAUGCUGCUGGAUAAGAGAUUGUGUAUUCUAAUCAGUCCUGUUAAGUUGUGCAUAGAAAUUUCUGCUUAUUGUCUCAUGUUUUGGCCUUUUUUUUUGUGGUGGCUUGGCUACUGAAUUUGCAGUCUUCUUGACCUCUGAGUGAAUGUAUUAGGAACUGGUACCUACCUUGAAUGCAACUUGUAUUAUGGCGGAACUAACAUCACUGAUUAUUUGGCUCCUUUCCAUUACAUCCAAUCUAUAGUUACUCUCAUAGAAGUUGAGCUGGAUUACAUCUGUCUGGUCCAAGAUCCAAAGAUCAUGAAUUAUGUCUGAAGAACUUGUCCUGGAAGUAAGUGCUAAGCAAGUAUAAGCAAUUGAAAUGUUAAAAGAACAAGUUGAAGAAUUAGAGAGACCUACUGUUGUGUUAGUAUUUGUGUAGAAAUGUUCUCGUUUGUACAUGCCACAAUUCUAUCUCUUUAUUAGGCAUUUAUUGAAAGAUUGUUAUGCUUUGGAUGGGUAUAUUUUUUGGUAAUGGAAUGCUUCUGUAUUUGUAAUUGACCAUAAAA